ACUAGGUGUAUUAGCCAUAGUGCUUGGAUUGGUAGCCCCAAUAACGCUUGCUGCCUCGGAUAUGAAUUGAAACUCGUCGUGAAGUUUCUCGCAACUGUUGCAGACGCUGAUGGUGGAAAUCUUAGUUGCAUAACUGUCACGCGAACAUACGGACACUUUUCUAAAGGAUCUUCCUAAUGUACCGCAAGGAGUUGAACUUGUCGUGUUUACAUUACUUAUGGACGAUGAUCUGCUAUGCCUCGAACAGCUGCUACCAAGAAGUCUGAUAAUAGCAUUUUUAUGGGAUAAUUCUUCUUCCUUAUUUCUAUUCAUGCCUGACUCAUCCGCCGUUUGUUCGAAUUCUUCGUUCUAAAAGGAAAUUAUUCUUCGAUGAGAAAAUGAAAAUUUUUUUCGUACGAAUAGAUAGGGAAAAAGAAUAAAUCAAUUCACCAUUGGAACUUCGAGUUCUUCUUCGUUCUGCUUGAUCGUUAUUUCAUUGAUUAAAACUGACUGAUUGUUGGCACAUCCACAGGCACCCUCGCAAGCACAUCCACUUUGCGAAUUAUCGACGACAUCGACUUGACGGUCCUUGUCUUCGUCUGUUCCUACGCCUUCUCCUGUCUCCUGCGAGUCUCCGUUGAUGUCGAUCGAUGCAUUCUGAGAGCUGUUCGGCUGUGGAGCAGAGUAAUCGGUCGCGCAGCUCGGACACGAAGCAAUGUAGUCCUGGAGAUACGCACCGAGGACUUCAGCGUCGAGCGAUGAAGAAGGAUUUUUCAUCUGUGUUAUUUCAUUCUCGUUAUUAGAUGGCUGGGAUCGAGAGAAGUCACAACUUUUUCGUAACCAGGCACGGCGACAUCUUUUUCUUCCAAUAAUCUCAAUUUCUCCUAUAUAUCCAUUAUUUAAUCAUUAAUUCGUUCAAUCAGCUUUUCAAUUUGUUAACUUUUAAUAUAUAGCUUACCCGAUCCAGUAGAAGAAGAAGAAGGUAUCUCUGAAAUAUUAAGACUUCUCCCGAUUGAUCCCGGAGGAGUAACGUACGGUGGUGGUGGACUCUCGGGAACCUUUGGAUUCCUCGUAGUAGAGGUCAUUGUUUGAUUACAACGACUUGUACUGGCUCCCUCUACUACUAGAUACAUGGAUGACUGUGGCUCUUGCUCGUGUCUCGAAUAUAAACGUAAGAAAUGAGACGUUAAACGUGAAAUGUCAGGCAAGACAAGAACGAACUCAAAAAGACGACGACAAACUCACGAACAUCGACUUGGCGAAUUUCUACUUCGUGGCUCGCAACUGAAGCUUCUCUUCUUUCGUCUAUUACCGUCGGAUUCUAAGCUCAACUUGACAACUUCGUCGUAUCCAGGUGGUGCUUCGUAAACCGGUGGAUCAUCCGUCACUGAGAUUUCAUCGAUCCUUGCUCCGUCUGUAAUGUCAAAGACUGCUCGAAGUAACAUAAAUGAUAAUCUAUGUUUCCGUGGUAAUUAUCAAACACGUACCUAGGAGCUCACUGAUAGUCUGUAAACGUGAUUGUAGUUCUCUCUGUUGUCUAGCUCUGGCACCCAUUCUGUAUAAUAAUAUAAUAAGGGCCGAUAUCAGAACUAUCAAGCCAAGGCUACUCGCAACGAAGACCAAUGUAGCUGUUUUUAAAUCAGGGUAACGAUCGAUCUUUGGGAAAUAAUAAUUCGCUUUAUUCGUGUGCCAUUUUCUAUCCUGUGGUUCAACGUCCCAAUCUAUAGGCAAACGAUUAUAUUUGGAACAAAUUGGUAUUAGUUCAAAAGAUAUAACCGGAUCUAACUAGAGUCGACGUUACCUCUGUAACAUGUAGCCGGUUCGUCACUGUUGUCUCCGCAAUGAUCGAAUCCGUCACAAUUAAGUUGGCUCGGUAUGCAUCUGUGAUUUUGACACAGAAAGUCGGAGCCCGUGAAGCAAUCUAUUUAUUAUAAAAUCAAUCGAUAUUUAUCUCCUUCCUUUUUUUCGUUUCCUUCGUAUUCGAGAAACCGAAAUAAACAUACCCAUGUAACUGAAGGCUGUGUAAGCUAUAGCUAGAUGCGAUGUAGAACCAAAAGUACCACGAAGGCUCACGUGAAAUCCACUGGUAACAGGAGCGAUGUGUUCUCUGUGUCUAAGUGGUUGUAAUUGGCUCACAGGAUGUCUUAAAACUUCCAAAGGUAAAAGAGCUGAUGUUGGUCCUUGCUUUAUAGUCAAUUCCGUGUUUCCAGCUGUCAAGUAAUUUUUUUCUUCUCAAUAUUAGAAUAAAUCAGAUUAGAUUUCAAAUGUCUUACCCAUGUCUGCGAAGGUAACCACUUUUAAAUACAUAUGAGUCUUCAUGUGAAGAAAAUUCUUAGGUGGUCUGAUAAGCCACACGCAAUCGUAAGUUUUUACACCUUGACCUACCAUGUCCAUCAUAGUGAUAGCCCCACCCAAAUUUUCCACGUAUCCUCCACAAUCUGUUAUAGGAUGAAUUGACUUGUCGUAAAGAUGACCGAUAACGAAGGAAUAAAAGGCUUUGUAUCCCAGGCCAGUACCACCAUUAGCGUAGAAUCUUAUCAAAAGAGAGGGUCCGGAACUUACUAUCACCGGUGGACGAAAUCUUGCACCACUGCUGACAUCAAGUCGUUGACCGUUCCAAUCGUAAAACUACGGACACAUGAAAUAUAAAAAAAAAAAAAACACGCAACUUUAAGAUCGAACAAUUUCAAUGUCCAACGAAAAAUACUUAGUACAUAGGAAGUACUCUACGUACUUCCAUGAUAGAAACCGUAGCUAAUUGGAAAUCGCUGAACAACAAUCUGACCCGACAUGAUGGAGCUUCGGAGGGACAUGUUAUUAGGUAUUCCAAACCUAAAUCUCGUGGAUAUCGAGCCGGAAAAAAUGGUGACGUAAGAAUACCUCCACCUGUACUAUUCAGACCUUUCGUAACUGAUGUCAUCAUUUCCGUUCCUUUAAGGUGUAGCCUGUUUCCUAGGGGUGAAAAAAGAAAUAUAUAUUAGAUCUCUUUAACGAAGAUAUUAUUUUAUAAUAGGACAGAUUACUUUUACAGAUCCUUACUUUCGGCCGUAUAUUCCAGGGUAAAAGCAUGCUUAUGCGAUUGACUGUAGAGCAAAGUAAUAGAUAGCGUUCUGGUACUCGAUCUGUACAUGAUAGGUGAAUAUAAACCGCAGUAAGGUGUACCUGAAACGUCUUCAUAUGGUGGCUCGGAAAUCCAAACGUAAUCACAUCUGUGGAUCAUUCGUUGGCAUAGAGAAAGGUUUGUCGUUGAAAAAGAAAAUAAAAAGGAUAAUCAAUGAAAACGUUUAAAUAUCAUCUCUAUACCUGCAUGGAUUAUCCAUCAUAACACCACCAUCGCCGCAAUGAUGCGACAAUGCAAUAUUCUUGAAUGUAACUAUUAUAACGCAUGACGGACAGGUUACUAAUUCGAGACUGCAUUGAUCAUGGGAACUAUUUGUCGCAUAAAUUCUUGAUGUCUGUUGUCUAGGUGCAUUUUUUAUAAAGGAUACAUUUUUAGCAUAAAGAAUACCCUUUUCGCCUAAUUCAAGAUAUAAACGCCUGCCAUUGUGUGUUCCACAAAUAUCCUCAUUCCUCACAACGUUACCGUAAAUCACGGUGAACCAGCAGAAUAUGAUGAUUGUCACUUUAAUUAGAGAGAAAAAAAAAAGAAAAAGGAAAGAAAACAAAAAGGAGAAUAUCAAAGAGAACGAUCGAUAAAAUUUGCUUCUCGUCAAACAUUUCUAUUCGAAUUUCCCGGGGUUUCGUUUACGCGCGCGAAUGAUCUUUUAAAAUUCGUACAAAAAUUUGCAUUCUUCGAGGACUUAAUAAAUUGUAAUAAAAUAAAUUUAAUACUUACCAUAUCGAGCCUGAUACAUAUUCGUCCAACGGAAAGAAACGUUCUGCUCGGCAAGAAACCCAACAUGAUUGCAUAUAAUUUCGUUAGCUCGCAAUUCUGUUACGUACUGUCCUAUUAGGGUAUAAAGCAUUUUUACGGCAUCUUCUGUGCGACUAACAUACUCUUCUCUAGCAGUUUUAUCGUCAGUAUAACAUAAUGGUAUAUAGCCCUACGUAACAAGUUAGAUAUCAAAUAUGUAUAUAAAGAACAUUAAUGUCGAAAUAAGCGCCGGGAUGGAUGAACAUUGAUUAGAAACGUUCUUUCAUUGAAAAUCGAUUUCACUUAUGUAAGAAUUAUGAACUUUGAUAUUUAUCUAACGAGUAAAAGAAACAUUAAUGAAUUUAUUCUUCACAAAGAGAGAUAGGUGACAUGCGAUAACGUAGAAUCUAUAUCUGUAUAUAAUAUCUGUAUUCAUUUUCGUAAAGUAGAAAUGAUAAACUUGAUAUAUUGAGAAAAAAAAAAAAAAAAAAAAAAAAAAAAAAAAAAAAAAAAAGAAAAAAAUCCAACCGUACAAUCCAGCUAACAGAUAAACAUCCUUCAACUUUUAUUGUGAUCUAAAAGAAUUUAACUUUAGUAUUGAAUAUACCGCGCGAGGAUUCAUGGCUGGCUUACGUCGUUUAAACGUCAGGUCGUAGUAAACUAUAAUGAAUCCUGAUUUGUUGACGAAUGUAAUAUCCGAAUCCACCCCAAGCUCGCCAGAAAUGGAUCUCACUAUAAAUCCAGAAAGGCAGAGAUUUCCCUUUUGCAUUGUUUGGACUCCAUUGCCUAUUAUAACUUAUUUAAUACCAUUUAUUGGUCAUAUGGGAAUUUGCACAUCGACUGGUGUAAUCAGGGAUUUUGCUGGUCCUUAUCAUGUAGCUGAAGAUCAUAUGGCAUUUGGUAAACCCAUUAAAUAUUGGCAACUUCAAUAUACAAAAGCGAAAGGUGGUGUGCAAGGAUGGGAUAUGGCCGUAUCAGAGGCCAGUGAAAUUUAUAAAACCAGGAUGCAUAAUUUAUUCUUCGAUAAUUGUCACUCACAUGUUGCAAAAGCUUUAAACUUAAUGGCUUAUGAUAAUUCUACAAACUGGAACAUGGUAAAACUAGCAGCUUUUAUUUUGGUAAAAGGAAAAUAUGUAAAUUUUUAUGGUUUUCUCAAAAAUUGGUUGCCAUUUUUUAUACUUGUCAUCAUUAUAAUGAUUCUUGAUAUGGUUUUUAAUUUAUAAUUUAUAUUUAUAAUUAUAAUUGCAAUAAUAUUGAUAAAUAACAAUAAAUGUUAGUAAUUUUGUUAUAUAUAGAAUUUUAUAGGAAUGCCAGAAUUGUGAAUAAGGAUUUGUAAUUCUUUUAUUACAUUUUUUAGUACACUCGCAAAUAAUUAAUAUCAAACUACAAAAAAGUAAUAUGUGUAAAUAUGUAUGUAUAAUAUUUAUUUCUAAAAAAGUUUUAUGACUGCAGUAAGUUAAAUGUUAAAAUGUUAAUACUUAACACUUUUCUCAAAAUAUUCCUUUUUAUCUAAUAUUACGGUUAAUAAUUAAAUUCUUUGCAACAAGCUAAUAGUUUAUUUUAAAAUAAUUUUUUAAUAUUUUAUAUGUAUUUGAUUACAUUAAGUAAUGGCAUUUAAUCAUCAUCAACAAUGAUAAAUAUACAACUUGUAAACAAUAUUUACAAUGACACACAUGCUGUUUAUAUAACUAUUAAAUAUCAAGAAUAUGUCCUUGUGCACAGUUUGUGUCAUGUAUCUGCCUACAAGUUUCUUCCUGAGCACGUAAGGAAAUAUAAGUAUCAUUAUACAUUGCAAGCUUGGCAGCAGAAAUAUGGUUUAAACAUAUGAUUAAUAUGUUAAUACUUUUUCUGUCAACAUUUCCUAAGAUAUACAUUGUCACUAACUAAAACUAUUUUAAUUAUAUUUAAUAGAGCCAUAUACCUGGAAAUUUAUCUAUUCCAAAUUCACAAAGUAUUACAUCAUAAUUACAUAUAAGCAAUAAAUAUACAAAAGAAAAAAAAAAAAUAGGUAAAGCAAUUACUUUUAAGUUAACGUGUAUUCUCUAAACAAUAUUGAAAUAUCAAAAUUCAUUAUAACAUAUGUAAUAAUAGAUAAACGAUAUUUUAUCUGUUUUAUAUAUUUAGAAAACAAAAUCGCUUUUUGCCUAUAAAUAUUUAGAUAACAUUUAUUGAUUACUCAUCAUUAGUGCUAUUCAUUUCCGUAAUGACACUCUUUUCAUGUGAAAAAUCAUAAUCUAAAUUUUGCUCCUCUAUUCUUUGGAUAAAAGAUAAAAUUUCAUUUGCACGUAACCUAUCAAUCUCAAAAUCAUUCAUAUUACUCUCCAACUGUUUACAUAAUUUGAAUGGUACUCCACUUAAAUAAUGUUGCAUAUCCCCUUGCUGAUUUUGUUUAGUUGAAUUUGUAGGUAGUGUAGGAUAAGUUGAAGCGUCAUUUAUAAGUGGAUAUAGGCCACCACCAGGAUAAGGUAUUCCAUCCUGAGAAUUUGGAGGUACAGGAUACAUUUGUCUUUCAAUAUUUACAAAUUCAUUUUCUAUGCUAGUAGAUGUAAGAUCUUCAGUCGAUUCAACUGGUGAUUCCUUCUGAUGUUUCUUUUUGCCAAAAAACCAAGACAUCGUCUGCAAAUAAUUUGAAUGAGACUUUGAUAAAAAGGGAGAACAAAAGAAAAAAAAAAACGAAAAAUAAUAAUCAUUAUAAAUUAUAAAUGUAAUAUCGAACAUAAAUAGCAUUCCAUGUCAACAUGCUAAUAUGAAAAUUAUAAACCGUACAUAUAUACGUCGUAGAAUAUUCUCAUUGAAUUAACGAAAGAAGUAUAAAUUAUUACUCACGUGUUGAAACUGGAAAAAAAAAAGAACAAUAACAAUAACGAAAAAGGAACUCGACUUAAAGGUUCGUUCUUAAAAAACUGACCAUACUACGUUUUUACUUUAGUGGACUAAUCUUAACGAGUCGAGGAAAUUCUCGAUAAAAUUUAUCGUAUGUUCUUAUCUAUCAUAACCUCUUGUCGUUACCGUUCAAUAUAGUUUUUUAAAAGUUACAACUCUAUCAAACAAAGAGAGGCACAUAUGUCAAAAGUCAAAGUAGUAUUGUAAGAUGACGACACCAUGAUCAAUUCAAAAAUAUAUAUAUAACUAUAAUACAUAUAUGCAUUUGCUACUAGCGACGCCAUUUAUUUCAAGGUAAACGAUAAAGAAGAAAUUGAUAGCGUUUCGUUCACGAUAAUAUCUAUCGUUUAUAUAAUCACAUAAUUCUCGCAAUCUCAUUUUUAAAAUAAUUAAAAACAAUUUUGAUAUAUAUAUAUAUAUAUAUAUAUAUAAAGAUUAAAAAAUCUACGAACGAGAUAUGAACUUUACGACGAUACGUAUUAGAAAAUUCAAAUCAACGCGCGUAAAUAAGAACUGUUCUCUAAUUGGAGGAAGUAUUGUAUAUAAUAUUCGAAUACCAUAUGGUAUUCGGUAUAAGGGAAUUACUAGUCGUCCAAUAGAUGGCGCUUUCUCGUUUUGCGGUACAUCGAGUGAUACUUUGGUUGACGCUAAAGAAUCAUCGUUAUCGUCAUCUAUUUCGUUUCGUUUACGUCGCGCGUUGUUUCUGUAUUGGCUUUCGAGCUCGUAAACACUCGAGAACAUACGUAAUAAUCGUGUCCCGGGAACUAUCAGGAGACAAUCUCGUGAUAGAAAGAGAAGUGCGAUGGAAUUACGUUUGUCCGUUGUUUUAUUUUCGGUGAUGGUAAAAAUUUCAUGGACAAGCGUGAGUCGAUAACGUAGAAUGGAUAUUUUGUUCGGACGAUCGAUCAACGGCCAUCAUCGUUCAACCUUUCCUUUGGAUCGAGCACGAUUUUAACAAAAAGUUUCAGGAGGAGAUAGAAAAUUAUUGCCAUUAAGAGAGAAAAUAAAAGGAUUGCGUUUCAUUAAGAUCAUUUGGAAAACUUGCUGUGCAAGCUCUCCCACGAAUGCUUCUCGUAUUCCCUCCAAUCGUCAUCAUACGCGAUAAGCUUAAUCUGUACAGUGUCAUUAACGCUAGAGUAAUGUAUACACGUAUAUGCAUAUAUAUGUAUAUAUAUGCAUAUAUGCAUAUGUGUGUGUGUGUGUGUGUGUGUGUGUGUGUGUAUAUAUAUAUAUUCUGAUUACUCGUUGAUUUCUAUGAAUUGGCAUGCAAAAAACAAAGGGUCACUGAUAAGAAUGCUUCCUGAAGUGGUAGACCACAACCCACGGACUUCCGACGGGUAGCAAAUGUACAUUUUUUAAUCCAUUCAGAUUGUUCGAUGCGUCAUCGAGAUCCUUUUAAAAGAUAAUGUAUUAAUUACAUCGGACAUAUCAUGCCGUUCGAAAAUAAUGAAUGAGAAAAAUCGUUAUAUCAUUGACAAUUGACAAAUAGAAUGAUGAAUAAUAUUUUAUUCAGGGUCAGGAUUAUAUUAUAUUUAAAAUAAAUAAAGAUAUUGUCACUUAUUAAAUAAUAUGAAUGAUAUAAAAGAAAAAAGACGAUUAGAGUCUCGUGGCCCAAGAAAAGCACGGUUACGUGCCUGUCUCCUCCGCUGCGGGAAGAGAGCGCGCGGACGACGCAACAAUGCUGGCGAAGUCUAAAAAUAGUUUGAAUUUGGCGGUACCGCCGAGAGCGGCGCUGCCGGCACGGCGCGAAAGGCGACGGCGGUGGAGUGGGAGGUGCGAGCGGGUGCCGAGACUCGCGGUGCCUGCCAGUUCUCUCUCGGCUGUCGCGUAGUAAAGUGUUAUAACUUUUCGUCUCGGUUCUCGCGUCAUUUUCGUCAAGGUUUCUUUUUUUUUAUCCUUCUCCUACUGGUAUCAUUGUUCUCUUAGAGAGGCCACCGAUCUACGAUGAGUCUCUAUAUAUUCCCUUGUGAAUCGCGUGUGAUCAUGUGACAGAAAAAUCAUCGUGUGAGAAAAAGUAAGAAAAGAAAAGAAGAAAGAAAAAAAAGAGACGGACAGACAGAUAGAGGGAGAGAGAGAGAGAGAGAGAGAGAGAGAGAGAGCGAGAGACAGACAGAAAGAGAGAGAGAGAGAGCACAUAUAGACACAUAUACACGUACACGCAUACACAUACAACGCAGAAGAAGAGCGUCGUGGCAGCUUCCGCAUCGCUAAGGAGAACUCGGGACCCACAUCAGCUAGUAUUCUUUGCCAACCCUAUUUCACGAAGCUUCUUUAACAUUCUUCGUCUUUCGAGGUUUAUCAUCGAUACUUUCUUGGAUUGUUUUCGUCCGUUGGAACAUCGCACAUUCUUUUUCCAAAGAACGUUCCUAAGAGAAAAGGAAUUUCAAAGAAAGAAACGAACGAACGAACGAACAUCGAAGGAAGAAUCAACGAGAAGAAUUGGGAUGAUCGUGAGGAAUAAAUCACAAACGGAGGAUCAACUAUUGUCAUCAUGGAAAAUCGCAGGAUCCUAGCGAGAAAAAUCUAUGAAGAGUAGUAUAAUAAAGAAUACUACAUAACACGUGUUAUACAUUCUUCGUAUAGUGUCGGAAAAUAGUUUCGUCCUUUUAUCGUAUUUCAAUUUAAAUUUGUCGGGUGGAAUUGAUUGAUCGAUCAAUCGAUCGAUUGAUGAUCGAUCGAUCGUUAUUGUGAGUUAAAUUUUUGUUGACGGGCGUAUAUCGUGACCGAGGAGUACGACCAACACAACGAACAUACGUGCGUGCGUUCGUACGUACGUACGUACGUUUGUUUGUUUGUUUGUUUGUUUGUUGUUUGUUUGUUUGUUUGUUUGUUUGUUGAAG
Molecule: RNA transcript, 9555 nt
Organism: Vespa velutina
Lineage: Eukaryota; Metazoa; Arthropoda; Insecta; Hymenoptera; Vespidae
Gene name: POU domain, class 3, transcription factor 2-like
Exons: 7
Source: RefSeq, a predicted model, not a curated record